ACACGUCUACAUUAGAUACCCCCGUAGUCCCAGCCGUAAACUAUGCGCGUUAGGUGUAUCGGUGACCACGAGUCACCGAGGUGCCGAAGGGAAACCGUGAAACGUGCCGCCUGGGAAGUACGGUCGCAAGGCUGAAACUUAAAGGAAUUGGCGGGGAGCACAACAACGGGUGGAGCCUGCGGUUUAAUUGGACUCAACGCCGGGAAGCUCACCGGAUAAGACAGCGGAAUGAUUGCCGGGCUGAAGACUCUGCAUGACUAGCUG
This 264-nucleotide ribosomal RNA is filed under the name uncultured archaeon. Its description in RNAcentral is "partial 16S ribosomal RNA". It matches the Rfam family "Archaeal small subunit ribosomal RNA", at positions 717 to 982 of the family's 1478-position model. The record is from RNAcentral.